UCUACACGCCACCACCCACUUUGCUUGAGUGAAAUAAAUUUUUGACUGCCUUUUCAUUUACAUUUUGGCAUUUCAAUUGAAAUUUAUUUGCAUAUUCAUAAAAUCAGUCGGCGAGCCGCCACCCAUACGCCUCAGGUCUCCGGCAAAGUGAAGCACAAAGUUUAUGAUUCCGAAAUGCAAACGACCGCAAAUACGAGUACUGCAGCCUGGCAGGCAUAAAGCAGAGUCGCCAAACCACCCUUCUGGCUGUCAAUGCAACCCACACGGACCGGCGGCCACGGCCACUUUCAUAUACAUACAUAUAAAUAAAUAUAUCAAUAUUUCUGUAUAUCUAUUGUGGAACCGAUAUGAAAUUGUUAUAAAUAAAAGUGCACAAAGUUAAA
This is a long non-coding RNA of Ceratitis capitata (Mediterranean fruit fly), 383 nucleotides long. RefSeq lists it as uncharacterized. The record is from RefSeq and is a predicted model, not a curated record. The transcript has 2 exons. NCBI's taxonomy places the organism in Eukaryota, Metazoa, Arthropoda, Insecta, Diptera, Tephritidae.